UGAGGAAUAUUGCACAAUGGGCGCAAGCCUGAUGCAGCAACGCCGCGUGCGGGACGAAGGCCUUCGGGUCGUAAACCGCUUUUCUGGGGGAAGAGCAAGGACGGUACCUCAGGAAUAAGUCUCGGCUAACUACGUGCCAGCAGCCGCGGUAAAACGUAGGAGGCGAGCGUUAUCCGGAUUUACUGGGCGUAAAGCGCACGCAGGCGGCUCUGUUAGUCGGACGUGAAAGCUCUCGGCUUAACCGGGAGAGGCCGUUCGAUACUGCGGGGCUUGAGGUAGGGAGAGGAAUGCGGAAUUCCCGGUGUAGUGGUGGAAUGCGUAGAUAUCGGGAGGAACACCUGUGGCGAGAGCGGCAUUCUGGCCCUCACCUGACGCUGAGGUGCGAAAGCGUGGGUAGCAAACA
Molecule: ribosomal RNA, 403 nt
Filed under: uncultured bacterium
Lineage: Bacteria
Description: bacterial SSU rRNA
Rfam family: Bacterial small subunit ribosomal RNA
Source: RNAcentral